AGAACCCAACAAUAUUCCGAGAAGGUGGUGGCGCCUCCAGAGAUAUUAUCGAAACCACCUGAAGAGGAGAAUGAGGAGGUUGUCUUGCAAAGAACUGUGAAGAAGCUUCACUUUGGAACCUUUGAAGAGAAGGAGAAAGCUGCCAUCGAGAUCGAGAAACUUUCCCGAGAAGACAAGAAUAUUCGGAAGCUCAUGGCGGAGCUCGGUGUUCUUCAGGUUCUUGUCUCUAUGGUCGCUUCCGAUAUCUCCGGCCACCAGAGAUCUGCCGUUAUGGCUCUUAUUCAGCUUUCUCAUGGAACCCACACGUAAGUUCUUCGACUUUUCAUAUUUACGGAGUUGACUCUCAUUCAUCAACCACGAGAUAGGAACACCAAGACGGAUCUCUUAGUUCGAGAGUGUUCAUACCAAAAUCAAGUUUAUUAAUAUCAUAGCUUCUAUUCCUGUAUGGUUCAUGCCUUUAAUUUAUUUUUAAAUCAUUUAAUAAAGUGAAUUUCUGAUAGAAAAAAAAAGUUUAGGCCGAUUUGUAGGACACAUGAAGUACAUAUAGUAAGACAUUAGUUAUGUAAUACUACAACUUACAUUAGUUCUCUUUUUUUAAUAAUACUCCCCUAAAUAUUUUACCCGCACUAAGCAUAUACCAUAUUGGCCCCCUAAAUACCUAAAGUUAGACGAACAUAUCAUAUAUAAAAGACAGAGCAAAGUCCACUAAAAGGAAUAGAUCAUUUCAUCAUCUCUCAUCUAUCUAUCUAUCUAUCAUGUCUUCCUCUCGAACACAAUCCUCUUCUUCUUCAGUUUGGCAACAUCAAUACAUGAAGCUCCACUUCUUUAGCAGGAUCCGUUCCCUUUUCAAAUCCAAAGCAUCAUCCCGCAAACGCGACUUGCAAAGCUCAACUCAGAUAUCAAGAACCCAACAAUAUUCCGAGAAGGUGGUGGCGCCUCCAGAGAUAUUAUCGAAACCACCUGAAGAUGAGAAUGAGGAGGUUGUCUUGCAAAGAACUGUGAAGAAGCUUCACUUUGGAACCUUUGAAGAGAAGGAGAAAGCUGCCAUCGAGAUCGAGAAACUUUCCCGAGAAGACAAGAAUAUUCGGAAGCUCAUGGCGGAGCUC
Molecule: long non-coding RNA, 1106 nt
Filed under: Brassica napus (rape)
Lineage: Eukaryota; Viridiplantae; Streptophyta; Magnoliopsida; Brassicales; Brassicaceae
Description: long non-coding RNA (BNAP_LNC002358)
Source: RNAcentral